Molecule: transfer RNA, 72 nt
Filed under: Spirochaetaceae bacterium
Lineage: Bacteria; Pseudomonadati; Spirochaetota; Spirochaetia; Spirochaetales; Spirochaetaceae
Description: tRNA-Cys
Rfam family: tRNA
About the family: Transfer RNA (tRNA) molecules are approximately 80 nucleotides in length. Their secondary structure includes four short double-helical elements and three loops (D, anti-codon, and T loops). Further hydrogen bonds mediate the characteristic L-shaped molecular structure. tRNAs have two regions of fundamental functional importance: the anti-codon, which is responsible for specific mRNA codon recognition, and the 3' end, to which the tRNAs corresponding amino acid is attached (by aminoacyl-tRNA synthetases). tRNAs cope with the degeneracy of the genetic code in two manners: having more than one tRNA (with a specific anti-codon) for a particular amino acid; and 'wobble' base-pairing, i.e. permitting non-standard base-pairing at the 3rd anti-codon position.
Source: RNAcentral
GGCGCCGUACCCAAGUGGUAAGGGAGCGGUCUGCAAAACCGUUACACAACAGUUCGAUUCUGUUCGGCGCCU